AGUGAACGCUGGCGGUAGGCCUAACACAUGCAAGUCGAACGGCAGCACAGUAAGCGCUUGCUCUUACGGGUGGCGAGUGGCGGACGGGUGAGGAAUACAUCGGAAUCUACUUUUUCGUGGGGGAUAACGUAGGGAAACUUACGCUAAUACCGCAUACGACCUACGGGUGAAAGCAGGGGAUCAUCGGACCUUGCGUGAUUGAUUGAGCCGAUGGCGGAUUAGCUAGUUGGGGGGGUAAAGGCCCACCAAGGCGACGAUCCGUAGCUGGUCUGAGAGGAGGAUCAGCCACACUGGAACUGAGACACGGUCCAGACUCCUACGGGAGGCAGCAGUGGGGAAUAUUGGGCAAUGGGCGCAAGCCUGACCCAGCCAUACCGCGUGAGUGAAGAAGGCCUUCGGGUUGUAAAGCCCUUUUGUUGGGAAAGAAAAGCAGCGGGUUAAUACCCCGCUGUUCUGACGGUACCCAAAGAAUAAGCACCGGCUAACUUCGUG
This 492-nucleotide ribosomal RNA is filed under the name uncultured bacterium. Its description in RNAcentral is "partial 16S ribosomal RNA". It matches the Rfam family "Bacterial small subunit ribosomal RNA", at positions 29 to 507 of the family's 1533-position model. The record is from RNAcentral.